GUAAACGUAGGAUUUACGUCUGACUUAAGAUUAGAGUUACGUACUCAUAAAAUGGUAUUCACAAAACCGUUCGUAGCCGCAAACGUAACUUACGAUGUACGAUUGCACUUACGCGUGCGCAGUGGCUAUUUUCACUUUGAAGCGUAAAAAGUGUGAAUUUGCUCAUUUACUUUGAAUUUCCUGCGCUACCGCCGCAUUAUGACGAAAAAGAACACAGAACUUUGUGAGAAAGCAACGAAUUUCAACGUAUACGUAUGCCUGCCAACGGCAUGUCGAUCAAUUGUACCGUUAUUCAGUGUUGUUUACAAAUCCAAAUGGAAGGUUCAUCAAAUUUAACGCAUUUGACUUGUGCAUGGAUCUGCGAUGCUGUAGGUGUUCAAAAAGAAGUCGGCAUGGACUGACAAGGUCAUAAAGGUGGUCAAGAAAUAAAUUGCCAAACAGACAGCAGCAUUCCUCGAUUUAGAUGCAUUUCUCUUCAUGUCCUCUCCUGAAAGAUUUUCCAUGAUGUCUCAGGGUCAGGAUUGGGAUGCAAGAUGUACAGUACAUAUAUAUGAUGUCUAUGGGUACAUUGCUGUAAUGGCCUGAAAAAUCUUUUGCGAAACCGAGAAAUGUUCAUCUUCCAGUGCCAUGAUUGUGUAAAAGGACGAGCAGAGGAAUGAUUCAAAAAUAUAUGGCAGGAUUGAGAAUCUAACCCAUGACCCGUAGUCUGGUACUCUACCCACUGACCAAUCCAUGCUGAUGGUCCAUCUGCUACAUUGAUGUCAUCUUAUAUAUUUAUUUAUUCAUUUAUAUCAUAUGGACAUUUAAAAAUUGACAGUAAAAUAAAAAAAAGUUUGAUAUUCAGCAAAAUAGAAUUUGUUACAAUACAUG
This is a long non-coding RNA of Ostrea edulis (European flat oyster), 870 nucleotides long. RefSeq lists it as uncharacterized. The transcript has 3 exons. NCBI's taxonomy places the organism in Eukaryota, Metazoa, Mollusca, Bivalvia, Ostreida, Ostreidae. The record is from RefSeq and is a predicted model, not a curated record.